GGGUUGUGAGGUUAAGCGACUAAGCGUACACGGUGGAUGCCCUGGCAGUCAGAGGCGAUGAAGGACGUGCUAAUCUGCGAUAAGCGCCGGUAAGGUGAUAUGAACCGUUAUAACCGGCGAUUUCCGAAUGGGGAAACCCAGUGUGACUCGUCACACUAUCAUUAACUGAAUCCAUAGGUUAAUGAGGCGAACCGGGGGAACUGAAACAUCUAAGUACCCCGAGGAAAAGAAAUCAACCGAGAUUCCCCCAGUAGCGGCGAGCGAACGGGGAGGAGCCCAGAGCCUGAAUCAGCAUGUGUGUUAGUGGAAGCGUCUGGAAAGGCGCGCGAUACAGGGUGACAGCCCCGUACACAAAAGCGCAUGUGCUGUGAGCUCGAUGAGUAGGGCGGGACACGUGGUAUCCUGUCUGAAUAUGGGGGGACCAUCCUCCAAGGCUAAAUACUCCUGACUGACCGAUAGUGAACCAGUACCGUGAGGGAAAGGCGAAAAGAACCCCGGCGAGGGGAGUGAAAAAGAACCUGAAACCGUGUACGUACAAGCAGUGGGAGCACCCUUUUGGGUGUGACUGCGUACCUUUUGUAUAAUGGGUCAGCGACUUAUAUUCUGUAGCAAGGUUAACCGCAUAGGGGAGCCGGAGGGAAACCGAGUCUUAAUUGGGCGUUAAGUUGCAGGGUAUAGACCCGAAACCCGGUGAUCUAGCCAUGGGCAGGUUGAAGGUUGGGUAACACUAACUGGAGGACCGAACCGAC
RNAcentral lists this ribosomal RNA (749 nucleotides) under Salmonella enterica. RNAcentral's name for it is "bacterial LSU rRNA". It matches the Rfam family "Bacterial large subunit ribosomal RNA", at positions 1 to 783 of the family's 2925-position model. Lineage: Bacteria; Pseudomonadati; Pseudomonadota; Gammaproteobacteria; Enterobacterales; Enterobacteriaceae. The record is from RNAcentral.